UUCCAGGAGAGAGGCCUGGAAAUCUAUAUUUUAAGAGAAGUCCCCACAGGUGAUUCCUAUGACCAGGCCUGUUUAGAAAACCUUGAGCUAGUGGAUAAUCAAAGGGCAGUAAACAGAGGGGGCAUUCUGAAACUAGAUAAUCUGGUUUUCAAAAUAUGAUCAUCUAGCAUUCUGGCUCUGGAAAGGUGAAGCUUGCUCACUUUUGGUGAAAACUUACUGCAGGGGUGCUGCCUCCCCAAGACUGUGUCUGCGGCCACACCCAUGUGACAGACCAGCCCUCUUAAACCCUCUGUAGUCAGGAGGGCCCUCAAUGUGAAGGACAGACCUCAGUAUGAGUCCCAGAGAGCUGGCGCUGCCCUGACAGAGGCCUCAGCCCUUCUCUAUGGCUCUUCCUCUUCGGUGAAGUCAUCCUGUUCCUACUGUGUGCGGGAAAUGCUCCAAACGUGAUGGUAUCUCUAAUCUCCACAGCAUCUCCAAGGAAGUGAGCACUGUCUCCAUUUUUUUAGAUAUGGCUCAGAGACAUAAAGGAGUUUGUUCAAGGUCACGUACCUAAUGUGUGACUAAGCAUGGAUUCAAACCCAUGUGAUUACAAAGCUGUGACACAUUCCACUCUACAACUCUGUCUCUCAAAGAUGACUUCAUCUCCCCAGUUGUAGCUCACCAGACUAUUUUGCUUGCUGCUAAGUUUUCCCAGCUAUACCCAGGAAUUUCAGAACUACAGCUCCAAAAUACCUGGAACCAUCCAGGCUGAAGGAAUCCAGGGAGAGUAUCCAGGGAGCUUUGGGAAUAGAGUUCAGAGAGAAGAAAAGGGGAUGAUGAGAGCACCCAGCUUUGAGCACAGAUGGCCACACUUCCCCAUCCACCCCCAUCACCACAUCCUCCUAGAACUGAAGGAAGCCGGAAGAGGAUAUCACCUUAUUUCGGGUCAGCAGGAAAGAUGUUGACCUCUGGGAGGGACAUAGCUGGGGAGGGGUUAUAGGAAGGGGAAAAAUGGGACACGUCAUCCCUUCCUCAGCAGAAACGAAAAACGGAAAACUUUCCAGCCAUGUCAGCUGCAAUGGCGUACCAUACAGCCAUGAACAUGAAUGAGCUACUGCUACCUUGGGCUUAAAUUUCACAAAUAAAACACUGAGUGAGAAAAGCUAGACACAAAAUAGUACCAACUGAAUGGUUUCAUUUAUAUGAAGUUCAAAAGCAGGCACAUCUCUACUCCAAAACUCAUCCGGGGGUCUGGAGUCACGCUCGAAUGCACCCCUGAGCCACUUUCCG
Long non-coding RNA from Bos taurus (domestic cattle), 1269 nucleotides. Lineage: Eukaryota; Metazoa; Chordata; Mammalia; Artiodactyla; Bovidae. The record is from Ensembl.